ACUAUGCGCGUCCGUUACCACUUACCAGCACGUUGCCCGUGCCUUGCCCCCCCUCCCAAGCGAGCGACUGCGGGCAGUCCUGACUUCUCCUUCCAAUGCCCUUCUGGAAACCGCCGACCUUUCCCUUCCUCUUCCUCUUCCCAGCUUCCCGCUCCUCCUUUUGCUCUCUCACCUUCCCUGCGAUCCCAUCUCUCUCUCAUUUUGCUCUCCAUCUAGGAUUGGCCGCAUGGGCGCAUGGCCACGACAGGGAAUCUCCGAGCUCAGACUGCCGGCCGGUCACCGCCCUCCCGUCACACUAGCUUCUCCUCUUGCGUCUGCCGCAGCCUCCGCCGGUGAGCACGGUCCGUCCACCCCUCCGUCAUCCUUGGUGGCGAGAACUCUCUGUUGCUGUUCCUAUAUAUGUGUGCUUCAACUUUAUCUCCAUCCCCUCACCAUCUACUGUAUUUCUUUCCUUUUUUGUUUAGUGUUCUGAUUUUUGAGAAGCUCAUUGGGUAUAUUUACUUGUGACUUGUGUAAGGGGAAAGGCAACACUGACUGUAGCAUAAAAAUUCAAUAUCUUUUUCUAUACCGCAAGUAGCAUAAAAACGCAACAUCUGUUAAGCUUCCGAGCAGCUCAUUGAGUAUUUAUUUGUGACUUGUGUAAGGGGAAAUACAAUACUGACUGUAGUAUAAAAAUUCAGUAUCUUUUUUUAUACCGCAAGUAGCAUAAAAAACUCAACAUCUGUUCAGACGGAUUUCUGUUUUUAUAAUGCAAGUAGCAUAAAAAUUCUAAUACAUGUUUUUUUAACACAGCUCACAAUAAUCCCUAUGCACAUGUGCAUGUUAAUUCCUCUCUUAAGAUUUCAGUUCACAGUACUGUUUCAUCCCUUUGAUGCAUUACUCAUCUUGGUACUUGGUGUUUUAGUAGCUUUUGUCAAAGCCGUGGUGGUGCGCCAAUGUUUUUUCUUUUCCAGUAGGAAACAUAUUGUCUUCCUCCUUCCAUCCAUUACAAACCAGGUAUCCCUAUCCAGUUCUGAGAUUAUCCGUAGCUUAAUGUUUGUGAUCUCAGGGGUUUUCCUAGCUGUAUUUCGAAUCAUUUUUCUUGAUCUGAUUCUUAAUCAUGCAAUCAGCAUAGCCUCUACAGCUCUACAUGAUCAAAUGAUUAAGUUGUCUUAAAUACAAAUUCAGGGUUUUUUUAGCUGUAGUUAAAUGAUGAUUUGGGUUAUCUUGUUUUAGCUGUAGGUAACAAACACAGAACUAAACGCUAACCAAAAUGUGUAUCUUCAGUUUUUGUAUAUCCACAACCAGGUUUUUAUUUUACCACAUCCACAGCCAGGUUUGCAUAACUAUCUUUUUCUCCUUUGUUGUCUGGCUGCAUUUCUGAUACUCGAUGUUGACACAGCUUUGAUAGUUUUAGUAAAUCAUUAUUGUACAUUCAUUUCCCACAGUAUGCUCUUUAGCUUAUUAUUGUUUGAAGGAGAGCAACAAAAUGCAGAAGACAAAGAUGGAUCUGGGUAAAGCAUUCUGAAUCACUUCUCCUCUGUCUGGCUGGCAUCGCCAAUUUCUCUGCUAACCCCGUUAGUUUGCACCUCCUGCCCCUCCUCACACUGCUCUCUCCGCUCUUCUUUUAUUUCUUCCACUUUCUGUGAUCUGCUAUACUGCUAAAAUCCUAAAACUUAAUAGUUCCAUUGCUUGCUUCAAUUUGGCGUCUGACACUUAGGAACUGAUUAGCUGAGGUCAAUAGGUGCACAACUCUGAAGUUAUCCAUUACUAUUGCAGGGUCUUCCGUUAUGGUAAAUUGAAAUUUUGUUUCAUUUUUUUUAAUCACCACUGUCUUGCUCAUAUCUCUAAAUUGUAAACCUGGUUGCAUAGGACAAGCACACCUUUAUCAGUAAUUUAUACAAACGAAAUGGAUGCUCUGUGCUAGACUCGGUUUUCAUCUUUCUUAGAGUGGUCCAAUCCUAUAGACAUGUCACCGAGCUGAAAUUACAUCUUCGCUUCAUUGAUAUUGUUGGUGAUUUUGCCACUGAUAUUGCAUGGCUUUAGUUUCCUGUACGGACUGCUGAGAACUGGGAAGCCAUACUUGACAGCACUAUGGCAACAAAGGCCAGUUUCACAUUCUUUAGGUGAUCGAUUGUUUAGUUACAUAUGUAGUUUACUUUCUUAUUAAUGGUCAAACCUGGAUAACCAUGUUAUUAUAUUUCUAUAGUGCAGCAAGGGUACUCCUAUCAGUUUUCCAGUGAUGUGUAGUUCAUGCUUGGUUUUGAAGCAAUAAAAGUGAGUGGUCAUCUGACAAUUGGUUUUUGCUUCAAAGUUGAAAAAAAUAGUUAGGUAGUUAAUGGCUUAAUGCACCAGAAUUUCUGGUUUGUUUUUGUUUUUAUGGUAAGUUAAUGUCCAUAGAAUUUGAUAUUCUUAAUGAGUGAAUAUUGCUUUCAAGAAUGUACUAAAAGUAGGAAACUUGCAAUGAAGUAUAUAUUAACAUCUGAAAUUUAAUUAUGUAACAAUUUGUCUGCCCCUUUCUAAAUUUUACUAGAGAAUUUGGAUUGCAAAUUUCAGUGUAGCUACAUGGAUUCCACUAGGGACAGGAGAUGCGUUAUUAUUUUACUUGCCAUAUCAGUCAUAUGCAUUUUACGGAAAUGUUGGUGCUUCAUGUAAAAAAUAAGAUGCCAAUGACCCGGCGGGCGGUAAGCUCCAAGUUUGUGUCACUUAUGUUCCAUUAGUCUUAAAGAAGUACUAUUCGUAUCUUCAUAGUCUGAGCCAUUAGUCUUAAGGCAGUACUAUUCAUACGUUGAUUGCAGGAGAUUAUAAGUCUCUUGUUCGUUAGGAGAUUACUCUGAAGCCAUGCAUAAUUGUUUUAACUACUAUUUUCUCGGUCCCAAAAUAAGUGGAGCUCUUUUACAGUACCCUUAUAUUAAUAUGGACCAUCCAUUCCAUUCCAUCCAAGGGCUGCAAAUUACUUGUACUCCAAGGCAACAACUAGGGAGUGCCACCGAUAAAUUUCAGGGAGUGCCAAAUCUCAAAGGAUCUUGAGUAACACUACUGCAGCGCGCAAGGGACGAUUGCCGGUGGAAGAUGAGCGAGCACCUGGGAUCGAGAGUAUCAUUGGUAUUCUCGAGAUAAUCGCAGUUGAUAAGAUAGUCCGGUUGGCUGACGUUCAGGGAGGAGCUGCUCCUCGGCGGGGCGAUCAAAUUGAUUAGGGAUUGAAAGUCAGUUAGGAAUCUACAGAUUCUGUAGCGGUGAGAAAAUGUCUAAUUUGCCCCUAAUAAUGAAGGGUCAAAUUUAAUUGGUACUCCCAGUUAGAUAAUUGGAGUACCAAGGUACCGUAAAAAAUCUCAAUAACUGACAUGUAUUUGUAUAAGUAUACAAAUCCACGUCACGUGGGAUAGAGGGAAUAUUACUUUGGGUCAACUAUUUGGCCUACUUUGUUAUCCAUAAUUAAUUGGUUUGGUUAUUUACUUUGUUAUCCAUAAUUAAUUGUUUUAACUACUCUUAAUUUGGGUCACCUAUUUGGCCGUUAUGUUGAUAACAUGAAAAUAAAACGGGAAGGAUGUGCUCAUCCAUGCGAGUCGAACCAUAUAAAAAAUCCUUCUUUUCAAGUCUGCGGGGACAUAUCUUGUUAUGGCUUCUUAACAUAUUUUCUUCUAUGUUUUCUAUUUACCAACGCAUGCAGCACGGAAGGAAGGAGAUGGGAUGCCAAUCAACAUAAGGGGAGAAAGGAAGAGAAAUAGAAGGAUUGCAUUGCUAUUGUGAACCAAACCGUAUUUAGUCUUCCAGAAAGAUUGUACUGUUUUAUUUAUUGUUUGAUGAAUGGAAUGGAUGCCAUCUUCACCGCAUAAAUGAAAAGAUAUAUGGAUAAAUAUUUUCCUGCA
Brachypodium distachyon (stiff brome) is the source of this 3848-nucleotide long non-coding RNA. RefSeq lists it as uncharacterized. Lineage: Eukaryota; Viridiplantae; Streptophyta; Magnoliopsida; Poales; Poaceae. The record is from RefSeq and is a predicted model, not a curated record. The transcript has 2 exons.